Non-coding RNA from Maylandia zebra (zebra mbuna), 165 nucleotides. The record is from RefSeq and is a predicted model, not a curated record. NCBI's taxonomy places the organism in Eukaryota, Metazoa, Chordata, Actinopteri, Cichliformes, Cichlidae.
GGGAGAAAGGGUUCACCUGGGGCAAAAGGCGAAGAGGGGAGGAGAGGAAACCCGGGAAUAAAGGGAUCACAAGGAAACACUGGGCCAAAAGGGAAAAAGGGAGAACGAGGCCCGGAGGGAAGCAGAGGUCGGCCUGGGGAAAAUGGACUCAAGGGCGCUAAGGUG